CGACCCGCACGAAAGGCGUAACGAUUUGGGCACUGUCUCAACGAGAGACUCGGUGAAAUCAUAGUACCUGUGAAGAUGCAGGUUGCCCGCGACAGGACGGAAAGACCCCGUGGAGCUUUACUGUAGCCUGAUAUUGAAAUUUGGCGCAGCUUGUACAGGAUAGGUAGGAGCCUUAGAAGCGUGAGCGCUAGCUUACGUGGAGGCGCUUGUGGGAUACUACCCUGGCUGUG
This 230-nucleotide ribosomal RNA is filed under the name Mammaliicoccus vitulinus. Its description in RNAcentral is "Staphylococcus vitulinus partial 23S ribosomal RNA". It matches the Rfam family "Bacterial large subunit ribosomal RNA", at positions 1984 to 2213 of the family's 2925-position model. Lineage: Bacteria; Bacillati; Bacillota; Bacilli; Caryophanales; Staphylococcaceae. The record is from RNAcentral.